UACGUAGGGUGCAAGCGUUGUCCGGAAUUAUUGGGCGUAAAGAGCUCGUAGGCGGUUUGUCGCGUCUGCUGUGAAAAUCCAGGGCUUAACCCUGGACCUGCAGUGGGUACGGGCAGACUAGAGUGCGGUAGGGGUGACUGGAAUUCCUGGUGUAGCGGUGGAAUGCGCAGAUAUCAGGAGGAACACCGAUGGCGAAGGCAGGUCACUGGGCCGCAACUGACGCUGGAGGAGCGGAAAGCAUCGGGGAGCGAACAGG
Molecule: ribosomal RNA, 256 nt
Filed under: uncultured bacterium
Lineage: Bacteria
Description: partial 16S ribosomal RNA
Rfam family: Bacterial small subunit ribosomal RNA
Source: RNAcentral